UUUGCAUUUUACUUACAAAUUUAAAUUUCCAGUUUGAGCUAUAAUUCUUAAAAUGUAUUGGUAAAUGGAUCUUUCGAAUUACUGGCCUAGUUUAAACCAGGUGAUUACAUUCCUAGGUCACUUUCAGUGGUUCAUAGUAAGGCUAUAAAACCUAGCUGUGGAUACAAUCCACGAAGAAAGAUGAUCUUGCACUGUUAAUGUAGGCAUAUCAAUCAACCAGAUUACAUGACAGGCCAGUGUUAAACAACACAUUUCUAGCCUUGAACAAUGAUAGAUCUAUUUGAAAACUGCCAGGAACGGUGCAGCUGUUUAAACUUUUUUCGCAACCUUUUCUCCACGUUACGCCCUCGCAAAUAGUCAAAAACGUUCUUAACAAAGCCUGCCGAAACACUUAAGUACAAGAGUGUUGUGCUUUCAAAGCAGUGAAUAAACUAAACGUUGGAAAAUUAAAAAAGAAACAGGGUAACCCAGUUCGAACGAGAGGACGUGGUGUUUGUUUAUCGUAACGGUAAGAUGCAAACUGGGUUAUUGUGAUUAGAAAUCGUGUUACCUAGCCUCUGUAUUUGGUGUUUUUGUCGUGACCAACAACAGUGGCAUCGGGAUUCGCCUUCAAAAUAAGUCACCCAUUAACUUGCAAACGGAUUUUAAAAAACAAAUUGGAAUUAUGCCACAAUUGUUCUAAACAAGGUUGUAAUGUUAUACACAUUCAGCCUACUCGGGAACACAAAAUGACGUUUACACAUGUUCGCGUUGUAGCUCUUAUUGUAGUACUUAAACUAUGGACAAUCGCCUCACUAUUCAACCUAUUGUACUUGUUGAACAUUCAUAUUAGGCAAAACUAGGCAAAUUGUAUAUUACCCCCAUUUCAUGGACUCAAGAUCAAUGGGUAUCAGCUUACUUUCAAUUUCAUGGACCCAAUAUCCGUAGGUAAGGUUCAGCCCGUUCUCUUGAGGUGGAGUUAAAGUUUUGAUUGCUGGUCGCGGGAUUUGGUAGCAACAACAUUGGGUCUCUGUCAGUCGAUUCUUGUAAAAGUGUCAAUUCUGAAAACGCUUACCUGCACAACUGCGGUUUUUCCGCGGGGUGCUGAAAUUCAUAUUUUUUGUUGAAAGGAUACAACCUCCCAAGUUUUUCUCGUUUGUGUUGCACAAAUCCGCACGCAUAUGCCAAUUGAAUCUCCGUUUACGUAGUACGACCGACACACGAGGAAGAAGUCAGUGGUUUUAUUUGAUAAGAGUUUAAAGUAUGAAAUUUCAGGACCGCAGUUGUAAAGGGUAAACCGGUAAUGUAGGCGUUUUCAGAAUUGACUGAAGGUGACUGUUGUUGCUAGCAAAUCCCGCGACUGGUUAUCCAAACUCAACUAUUAAAAAAAAAGGAGAGGAGUUGAGCGUUACUCAACUAUAACCAAGGCUGUACAUUUCAAGAUGAAUGUUAAAUACACACAAUAGGCUGAACAGUUAGGUGAUUUCCAACAGUUGAAGUCCCGCAAUAAGAGAGACGAUAAUGUUUAUAACCUGUGGGUGACGCUGAGUAGGCCGGACCAAAGAUCCAGAGAUAAGGCUGUACAAUGCAAUGUUAUCUGUCUAAUACAUCCACCGUGCGAUUUCAACUCACUAUACUUUAUCUGUGUCAAAUUAACGGCAUUCUGUUUAAUUUAUACAACAUUUCAAACUUGUUUAGCAUUAACUAGUCCAAUUGGCAUGAUUCCAUUAUUUGUAUCAGUUUCAAUGGGGGACUUUUAUUUUGAACGCUAACCGCCGAUGCCGUAUAUUUAUAUGUACAUAUUCUUAUUAAUUCCUUUACACUUGUGUGUAUAAGGUAGCUGUUGUGAAAUUGUUAGAUAUUGCUGCAUGGUCGGAACUAGAAGCAUUUCGCUACACUCGCAUUAACAUCUGCUAACCAUGUGUAUGUGACCAAUCCGAUUUGAUCCUCACACUGACGUUGUUCACGACACAGGCACUUCUUCCGCGCUUGUAAAGGUGUCCGCAUGCUUCCCAGUCGAAACAGUUCGUGCAUAUAUUAUGUUUGUGGACUUCGUUGAGGGUUCUGGAGAUAAGCCGAAGUUCGGAGCCGAAGUCUACUGAUCAUUUUCCAUCAAUGGAUGUUUUUUUAUUUCUCCGUUAUUUUACCAGGUAAAUUGACUGAGAACAAGUUCUCAUUUACAACAACGAUGUGGGGAAUAGUUACAGGGGAGAGGUGGGGGAUGAAUGAGCCAAUUGUAAACUGGCGAUUAUUAGGUGACCAUGAUGGUUUGAGGGCCAGAUUGGGAAUUUAGCCAGGACACUAGGGUUAACACCCCUACGAUAAGUGCCAUGGGAUCUUUAAUUACCCUAGAGAGCCCCAUCCGAAAGACUGCACCCUACACAGGGCAGUGUCCCCAAUCACUGCCUUGGGGAUUGAGAUAUUUUUUAGACCAGAGGAAAGAGUGCCUCCUACUGGCCCUCCAACACCACUUCCAGCAGCAUCUGGUCUCCCAUCCAGGGACUGACCAGGACCAACCCUGCUUAGCUUCAGAAGCAAGUCACCACCAAGCAAGUGGCACUAUGAAGACUAAGGAGCUCUCCAAACAGGUACUGACAGGAGGCGUGACGAGGACGCUGAUCCAGUGGACCUGGUGCCAGUAAGGAUGGUCGUCACGGAGACGAUAAGACCGUCCAGGAUAGAGAAAUCCUUCGACUUCACUGCCUCUUCAAUGACGAUCCCACAGAUGAAGAAGCUGGAAGUGGAGGUCCUGGGCUGUCCUGGUUACACAUGGUCUGUGGAUGUGAGGCCAGUUGGAUGUACUGCCAAAUUAUCUUACAAAGUUGGAGGCGGCUUAUGGUUUCAUUGUCCCCCAGCACAAGGUGCACCUGUGUAAUGAUCAUGCCGUUUAAUCAGCUUGAUAUGCCACACCUGUCAGGUGGAUGGAUUAUAUUGGCAAAGGAGAAAUGCUCACCAACAGGGAUGUAGACAAAUUUGUACACAUUUUGUGCAUAUGGAACAUUUCUGGGAUUUAUUAUUUCAGCUCGUGAAACAUGGGACUAACACUUUACAUGUUGCCUUUUAUAUUUUUAUUCAGUAUAAAGUUAUUUGAUUGAUUAACAUUUCAGCUGUAAAAUAUUUAACAAG
Oncorhynchus tshawytscha (Chinook salmon) is the source of this 3105-nucleotide long non-coding RNA. The record is from Ensembl. Lineage: Eukaryota; Metazoa; Chordata; Actinopteri; Salmoniformes; Salmonidae.